Long non-coding RNA from Vespa mandarinia (Asian giant hornet), 5051 nucleotides. The record is from RefSeq and is a predicted model, not a curated record. NCBI's taxonomy places the organism in Eukaryota, Metazoa, Arthropoda, Insecta, Hymenoptera, Vespidae.
UUGUUACCAACUAUUACUGUUUUAGGCUCCAUCUGGACUAUUCUGAUCGAAAUUCCACUAUACUGUAUUUUACGUAAUGUACCAGAUUUUUUAAUGCUAUUCAUGACUUUUCGGCCGAAGUAUGUGUGACUUCUUCAAUAAUAAUUAUGAAUAAAAUAUAAACUACAAAACAAGUGGAAAAUGUUGUCCCUAUCAUGCGUUUAUCGUCUCGGGUAUAAGUUUGUUUGCUUAUUCCCCUCUCACGCAUACGUAAUAAUUGUUUCGUGUAAAUUAGACUGAGUAGUAUUAGUAGACUGUAAGCGCACAUUUUUUAAUCUAUCAUAUAUAUAUCUUUCUUUGAUGGCAACAUGCGUCUUGCAGUGAUACGUGCUAGAUAGGACAUUGUAAAGACAAUCAGCUUCGACUGAUCAUGAAUAAGAAACAAUGUCGAAACAAAUGCAUUAUGAUCAUAAGAUAGUAAGACAAAGAAAAACAAUAGCGGAUGAAAACAAAAGAAACGUUUUCUACUAUUCUUUAUAUGUCAUUUGUUUAGAUGAACAGUCACACGUGCGUCCACUACGUAAAAGGAUACAUUAUCCUUCGUUUCUCGCAUUUCAAGAUUACAAGAUAUUUACAUUACUUUCAUGCCUCAGACUACAAGUUCAGAUGUUCAAAAACAAUUGACUACCGCAUUGUUUCCGGCACCUGUGGCGCCUCCUCGCAGUUAAUAUUUAUUCAUUGUUUUUGUGUUAUACAAACCACAUGUUAGUACGUGUUUUUAAUCCUUUUUCGAAUUACGAAUACGAUGGGUGAUAAAAAGAAGAAGUCUAGGAGCCGGAAUCGCUCUGAGGAGAGAAGUAUUUCCAAGAAAUUAUGUAUAUUUGAAGAAAUGAUGGGAGAAAUGCUGACUAGCAUUGCAUCAUUCAGCAGACCAUGCUGACGAAGGAGUUGCCGGGUUUUUCUCUUGAUCCAAGAAGCCGAUUUAUAUCAUUGAAUUAAUAUACACGAGAGUUUAAUUCUUUGAUAACACUUUAUUCAGGCGGAUAAAGAUGGAAUCUGUUGUAUCCGGGAGAUAAAAUAGAUUCUCAUAUGGUAAUCUGACUUUAUCUGGAAGGUAAAGAGAUGAUGUUUGCUUUAAUUAUCCGAAAGAUAAUUGUAAACAAACAAACAAACCAUGAAAAAUGAAAAAUACUAUUUAAAUAAACAGUCACGAUUUACGUUGUGUCGUGGGCUAGCCUUGAAAUUAUCAUUUGAAGAAGGGGACCCUGUGGACCUGGUCUCAGAAAAAUCAUUGGAGGAUACACCAAGUUUGAGAGCCACAAGGGUCCCAGGAACAAUUGGUGUACUGAAAGAUGUGACCAACAGUCAACAUAAGAUCUUGUUUGGGGCUAUUGAUACGAAGGCCAUAAUCGGUAGUUCUGAGGCUCAGAUUAAUGAAGGAAAGAAAUACCUUGGUGCUAGUCUAAACAGCGAGGACAAGGAUUUUCUGUUAAAGAAAUACUCUAACUUAAAAUGAUUACACACACAAAUUAUCCUAUAAAACUUUUAUAUUUUAACAUUUUACGUAUCUUUACAUCUUUACGAAGAUAAUUUCUUAAACAUUAGUCUUUGUAAUUUUGUUUUGUAUGAUAUUUCAUAUAACUAUUGCCAAGAUGGAUGCUCGGCUUUUCGGGACAAGUAUCACAAUAGUAUGUUGUUUAAUGUCUUGUCGGGUAGACUUUACAAUCCUUCCUAACUUCUGUUAGAAUGUUAUGCAGCUUUCCAUUCAGGCGGAUCUUUUCGGAAUCGAAGGUUGAAGCUGAAUUUUGAUCACGUGCUUGGUGAAAAUCUCCAGUCAGUUGGUAAAGUUUUUACAUACCGCAAGUGAUUAAGCGGUUGUUCUCUUCUCUGAUGUUCAGUGGUUUUAUAAAGAAUAUAUGAAUUUAUUGGACAAAUUUCCAGACCCCAAAAAAACAGUUUACGCCACCAUUUCAAGGAUUUUCUUAAGAAAUAGUACGUUGAGGUAUAUUGAUCUACACGAUCGAAACCGCCCAUAUGUUUUAUAUAAUUUAUUAUAACAUUAGGUUUUUUAACGAUAAUUUUAAUAUCACUUCGUAAAAUUCUUUUUACAGUGCUCAUUCCUGCAUUAUACCAAUUGGUCAAGCACAUGACAACCCUCUUGUCCUUCCAUGCUAAAACCAAGGUAUUUCUUUAUGCUACUGUCGAUUUCUUGCGGAAUUUUGUUUUUUUUUUAUUUGAUUUGGCAAAUGCUUCCCAUUCGUUAAGAUUGUUCCUAUCAAGUGGCAUUUCAGUUUGAAUAAUUUUUCAACCAAGAUAAAGCUGGUGUAAUGCCGAUCGGUGAACAUAUGAUAAGCGAGAGUCAUCUCUCGAAUUGCGGCAUUAAAUCAUGUGGUGAGUGAGAGUCACCUCUCGAGUGCAAAGGAUUAACGGUCGUCUGUAUGAAUUUGUUUUCCGUUUAGUCUAUGUACUAGUCCCAUGGUGUUUACCAAGCUUCUGAAAUCAGUCGUAAACUAUUUGCGGUCGCAAGGUUUUUUAUGAAUGUUAUAUUUGAAUGACAUUUUAUAUCUCGGUAAGUCAAUAGAAGAGUGCGGGGACAAUCUUAAAUAGACAAUUGCUUUGCUCAAUCGUUUAGGUUUUAUCGUAAACCUUGAAAAGUCAAGGUUAUUACCUGAGAUUAGAUGUAGAUAUCUAAGGUUUUUUUACUAGAUUCAUCCAUUAUGAGAGUUGAGUUACCAGAAGAAAAGAAGUUCAGAUGAGUAAUUUUGAAAGGAGGCGAAUUUUUAAGAUUCGGAAUUUUGCUAAGUUGGUUGGUUCUUUGAUAGCAUGUUGUCCGGCUGUUGAAUACAGUCUAUUACAUUGUAAAUGGUUUGAGAGGGCUAAGCUUUGGGCCUUAAAUAAUAAUUGAAGGGCCUUUGACGCGACGAUGAAGAUGCCUAAUUGUAUCCAAAAAGAUUGUGAUUGGUGGAAGAAGGUCACAUCGGUUGCUAGUAUCAGGGAAUACAAAUUCAUCAGAAUGAUAUUUUCGGAUGCUUCACUGUCAGGCCGGGGAAGCUUUCUAUGGUGGUGAAAAUGCCAAUGUAUUUUGGGAUCAGGCAGAGAGAGAUCUCCAUAUCAAUUACCUGGAACUGAAGACAGCGCUAUUGGUUUUGAAAUGUUUCGCGGUAGAGUUGCAUGAUAUAGAUCAGAUAAUUUUUUACAGUGUCAGCCAGUAAAAUUCUCAAGUUCUUAGCCGAAAGAUUUAAUGAUAGGGUUGGCCACAGUGCACUUAACGCUGCUAGGGCUGCUCUUUCACCGAUAUCUAGUGAAGACAUUGCUAACAAUGUUCUCGUUAGCAGAUUUAUCAAAGCUAUGUUUAAAAUGCGACUUAAUCUAUACAAGUCGACAAAUACAAGUCGACUUGGAAAGUUGACUCGGUAUUUAGUUUCACUGUUCCCAUUAGAUACAUUGUCCUUGAGAAGGCUACCUAAGAAGCUAAUAGUUCUUUUGGUGUUAGAUAUUGCACAUAGGGCGCAGACUCUUAUUUUAAUAAAAAUAUCUAACAUAGAUAUUUUAGAGUUGAGAGUUGAAAUACGGAUUUUAGACAGGAUUAAGACGAGUCGACAAGUAUCAUAGCCGGUUUUGAAAUUUCUCUUUUUCAAGGAGAGACCAGAGCUGUGCAUCGUCAGGAUUGUGAUUGAAUGUGACGAAAAUAUUAAGGGGGACGACUGAUACCUUGUUCGUCUUUUUUCAAAAGCCACACGGUCCAGUGAAAAGCGAGACGAUAAGUCGCUGGAUAAAAGAAGUGUUAAUAUCUUUUGGAGUCGACAAGAAAUUUACGGCACAUUACGAGGGAUACAUUAACCUCCAGGCCGCAUAAGAGAGGCGUGAGCCUAAAGGAGAUUAAGAAGGUUGGUGCAUAGAUCACCGCGAAAUUCACGUUAGCCAUCAGUAGAGAAAAUAAAUAUAAAAGAUUGAAUAGUAAUAUUAACACAUUGCGUACAGGUCACGAGAUAUCUCGUUUUCAUGUUUUUUUUGACCAAAACGAUGACUUAAGCAACCAGAGAUAAAUAUUUUUGUUACGUUACGGUAAGGAAGCCUUGCGCGUUCUUAUGACGAAUGACGAAAUAACUGAAUGUUGAUAUUACGAAAAUGAAAAAAUAGUCAGUAUAGCUAGUACAUCAUUAGAUCUGUGCCGAUCGUCGUACGUACCGCACCUUAUAAAGUGUUUUAUUAUUGUACAUUUUGAAAUUUUCAAGUUCGUGUUUUAAUUUGUAAGGAAAUAGCUUUUUAAAAAUCAUUUAUAUUUUCAUUUGUUAGUGAAAAUUUAUAACAAACAGAAAUGUGAUAUUUUGUUGCAAAUUUGGAAAGAUAAAAAAGAAGUACAAAUGAUUUCGAAAAUUCAUAAAUUUGAAAUGGUUAAAUGUACUGGAUAUAAAACCAUGCAGAAACCGAAAUGCGUUGCAGACUAUAAUUUAAACAUGAACGGUGUCGACCUUGCUGUUCAGUAUCUAUAAUAUUACACAAUAUUGAGAAAAACAAUUAAAUGGCCAAAAAAGGUAAUAUUAUAUCUCAUCAACUGCGAUCUGUUCAAUGCAUUCAAGAUCUAUAAUUCGUAUAAUAAUGAAAAAAUGAAAUAUAAAGAUUUUUUUAUAAAUGAAAUUAUUAUGAAAUUAUAAUGGAAUUAUAAUGAAAUUAUGGACGACAGAAGAAAAAAAAUCAACAGAUACAGUUAUGGAUAUAGGACAAAGUAUUUUAAAUAAAACAAAUCAUCUAUGCGUCGAUGAUAUAGACUCUGAUAAUAUGAAACAGCAUAUACUUGAGCCAAUGACGUGUAAAGGCAAGAAGUUCCCAACCAAACAAUAUAAAGUCUAUUCGUCCAAUGGAAAAAGGAGUGAAACAACUGUUGCAAAUCGUGUCGAACACCAUUGCACGAUGGAAUAUGGUUUACUAGAUAUCACUCUAAAGGAUUAUUCAAAAUAUAAAAUCUAAAAGGAACUACACGAUUGGAUACGUUUUUCCUUAUUUUUACCAUAGAGUUAUCUUUCCAAAGUUCAUUAAAAUGAUUGAAUGAGUUACCGAGUAAUCUACGUGCA